This is a long non-coding RNA of Astatotilapia calliptera (eastern happy), 1038 nucleotides long. Lineage: Eukaryota; Metazoa; Chordata; Actinopteri; Cichliformes; Cichlidae. The record is from Ensembl.
AAAACAUGUUUUCUUGUUUCGCAUUGGUGGUUCACUCUACUGGGCACACAAAGGCUCAUUCAUUCCAAGUUGUUUGCUUUUUACAUCUUUUUAGCCCAGGAGCACAAAUUGCUCUCAUGUCUAUCCUGAAUCAGCUAUCCCGUCAGCCAAUCGGUCCUUUAUUUAUGCAAUUCUUGUUUUGGGUUUAGCCUCCUUGAAGCGUCCCUUCUGACACGCUUCAGAAAGUAGAAAAAGUGCUGGUAUAUUGUUGUUGUUGUUUCUUUUCUUUCAUUAACACUGGCUGAGAUGAGAAAAGAAUCUAAAAACUAUAAGCACCUCUCUGUAAUCUGUCUGUCUUCCACGCACACAUACAGCUGUGCACAUAUCCAACACAUGCUCUCCAAUCAAAACUUUCACACUGAGAGACAGCAACUGGUCAACAGGAUAUAAAACCUUACUUUUUUCUUUUUUUUCUUUUGUUCUUUAUUUCAGAAGUGACCUUUCCCCUACUUUGCUUUUUCUGCACCCAAGCUCGCUUUAGCAUUUCUGCUAUAUUUGUGGUUUUACCCAAGUUUGUCUCAUUAACGUUUUCAAACAGUGACAUUUACUUUAACCCACUACUUUAAGCUGUAAGCUGGGUCAGGUGACCCGUGUAUUUCACUUUUUAGAUUUAGGCAAACUGUUUCUGUGUUGUAACUCUGCACAGAUUUGUGCAGAUCAUUAUCGGAGUCCAGCUCAUUUGCUUUAUGCAUUAUGGCUGAGUCAUUGCCAUGUAUUUGAUGAAAGGUUCACACUGUGACGGAGAUCACUCUGCUGAGCCUCACCCCUCACCCUUCCUCUCCCUCCUGAUUGGUGUUAGUGGAAGGGAAGAUGACCAUCUGCUGCCCCAGUUGCCCAGUGACUGGACAACAGCCCUCCCUUAUGGCACAGUUCCACUGUCCAUUGUCUGCUUGAGACAAGCGAGAGAUAGUGUGUGUGUGUGUUCCAUUUUUAUGUGUGUGUGGCUUAAUCUGUCCGUGUAUAUUUGUAUGUCCUCCUCGAAGAGAGCAAAGUAUUGUG